Molecule: ribosomal RNA, 440 nt
Filed under: uncultured bacterium
Lineage: Bacteria
Description: partial 16S ribosomal RNA
Rfam family: Bacterial small subunit ribosomal RNA
Source: RNAcentral
CCUACGGGAGGCAGCAGUAGGGAAUAUUGCUCAAUGGGGGAAACCCUGAAGCAGCAACGCCGCGUGGAGGAUGAAGGUUUUCGGAUUGUAAACUCCUUUUGUUAGAGAAGAUAAUGACGGUAUCUAACGAAUAAGCACCGGCUAACUCCGUGCCAGCAGCCGCGGUAAUACGGAGGGUGCAAGCGUUACUCGGAAUCACUGGGCGUAAAGAGCGCGUAGGCGGGAUAACAAGUCAGAUGUGAAAUCCUAUGGCUUAACCAUAGAACUGCAUUUGAAACUGUUAUUCUAGAGUAUGGGAGAGGUAGGUGGAAUUCUUGGUGUAGGGGUAAAAUCCGUAGAGAUCAAGAGGAAUACUCAGUGCGAAGGCGACCUACUAGACCGUAACUGACGCUGAUGCGCGAAAGCGUGGGGAGCAAACAGGAUUAGAUACCCCUGUAGUC